UUGGGCAUUGGCACAGGGAGGUGAUGGAGUCACUCUCCCUGGUGGUGUCCAAGAACAGAGAAGAUGUGUAUUAAAGAAUGUUGUUAGUGGGGAAAUAUUGGUGGUAGGUGGUCGGUUGGAUGAUCUUAGAGGUCUUUUCCUUAAUGAUUCUAUGAUUUUAAAAAAUAGAUUUUGUGUACUGCAAAAAAUUAACGGUUGGAAGACUCUCGGGUGGCCCCAGUAGUCUGAGUGCCUGCCAUUGGUGAUAGGAAUCAGUCUGCAGCAGCACCAGUUCCUGUAUAUUUUUGUAACUGCUGAAAUCAAAUCUAAUGCAGGCUAUUGAAGGUAAAAAGUUUUAGGAUUUGUUAACUUUUGUCUCCCAUAUCAUUUGGGGUCAAUAAAUUCAGACAUUAGAAGAGCAGAAGCAGAUCAGCAUUCGUAUGAGCUAAAUAUUCCCAUGUGCAGAUGUAGGUGAGUGACUUUUAAUCAGUUAUCGGCCUGCCUGCAUGUCAAUGCUCGCUUACAUAAACUGUAGUUCAGCUAUACAGAGACAUUAACAGCAACUGCAGAGAGAUCCUCCCUUCUCUUUUUUUCAGUUCUUAAUUUUGAUCUUAACAAAAGAAAAUCCUGGAAGCAAAUACUCAGUCUUUUGAUAACAGCGGUUUAAAGGUGUCAGGAAGCAGGAAACAAACAGAAGGGUGAGUGAUCUCUUCUGCCUGCUUCCUUCCUCCCAGCCCCCAUCUGAACACCUGACGGUGCUGCUCACCGUGCUGCCGAGUUCUCCUGCCCCAAAGAGAUGCUCUGGAUUUAUAGAGCAAACAGUUUUAGUUUCCCCAGAAACCCAGGCUUGUUUUAAAGCUGCCUUUGUUCAUUUAGUGAGCAUCUUCUUCCUUUUUACAGCAUGUGUUCAGUAAAGCAACCCUUUGCUUAUCUUUAUGAGACGUACCUUAGCACAGCUCCUCUGGCAUUAUCCUCACAAAAUGCCAUCGCAGACAUUGGAGGCAUAGCAUUAUUUAUUAGCUCGUUCUGGUACAACUCAAUUACUUUCUCUCCUUUAAAAGUACUGCUGGAGAGGAGGCCUUUUGAGAGCAGCCAGUGUCCUUCUUGUUUUUCUAACCACUUCUCUGCAGAUGCCGCACCUCACUUGAAAAUACAGAAGUAUGUAAACAGAGCCUGCACGGAGUGGGACAUAAACACAUUGCUCACCGAGGGGAUAUUGGAACUUUCCAAAACUUACCCUAUGGAUUUUUGUAGGAGUGCAUCAGCUGAAACCAACAACUCCUGAAAAAUGAGGUAUCGUUGUGUUUCAGAUCUACAUCACCAAUUGUACAGUCAUUUUGGAAACUGCCUCAACUGAGCUCUCUAGCACCUUUAACUCUUCACACAAUCCCACUGAAAAUAGGCAAGAGAGACACUCAUAAACAACCACUGAAUAGGAAAAAGUAAGUGUCCCACUCACACGAUCAUUAGUUACUACUAAAAAAUAUUUAUGGCACUGUAAAAUCUCAUGUCUCUCCCUUGGCUUGAAAAGUUCUGUUAUUUCUUAUUCUCUAUUGUUCCAUACUAUUUAUAACUUCUAGCUGCCCAGGUCAUACUCCCUGUAGUUCCCCUGCCAGGUUAGAAGAAUGUUUUUGUCCUUUUCUGUCUAAAAUUACUCCAGCACGCUUUAUCUUCUGUUUCCUCUAAUUAUUUUCUCCAGUUCAUUGUUCCUGAUAUUGUUCCUAAACUGAACGUAUUGAUUUCCUGUCUCUCCUCCUGUCUUUUGUUUAUUAAGAUGAUAAAUGCUUUAAGAUAGAGCCUGUUCUUUGUUACACAUAUUGAAUCUCUCUUGGAUCUUACAAGCAAAUCACCAUCCCAAAUUUAAGAGCUGAAUCACAAAUCGAAUAAGUUU
This is a long non-coding RNA of Meleagris gallopavo (turkey), 1870 nucleotides long. NCBI's taxonomy places the organism in Eukaryota, Metazoa, Chordata, Aves, Galliformes, Phasianidae. The record is from Ensembl.